GACGAACGCUGGCGGCGUGCUUAACACAUGCAAGUCGAACGGAAAGGCCCCUUUGGGGGUCCUCGAGUGGCGAACGGGUGCGUAACACGUGAGUAACCUUCCCUUGACUUCGGGAUAACUUCAGGAAACUGGGGCUAAUACCGGAUAGGAAUCCUUGCUGCAUGGUGGGGGUUGGAAAGCUUCGGCGGUUUUGGAUGGACUCGCGGCUUAUCAGCUUGUUGGUGGGGUAGUGGCUUACCAAGGCUUUGACGGGUAGCCGGCCUGAGAGGGCGACCGGCCACAUUGGGACCGAGAGAAGGCCCAGACUCCUACGGGAGGCAGCAGUGGGGAAUAUUGCACAAUGGGCGGAAGCCUGAUGCAGCAACGCCGCGGGCGGGAUGACGGCCUUCGGGUUGUAAACCGAUUUCAGCAGGGGCGAAGCUUGUGGUGACGGUACCUGCAGAAGAAGCACCGGCUAACUACGUG
RNAcentral lists this ribosomal RNA (465 nucleotides) under uncultured bacterium. RNAcentral describes it as "partial 16S ribosomal RNA". It matches the Rfam family "Bacterial small subunit ribosomal RNA", at positions 28 to 507 of the family's 1533-position model. The record is from RNAcentral.